GUCCACGCUGUAACGAUGUGAACUAGUUGUUGGAGGAUAUUGACCCCUUCAGUGACGCAGCUAACGCAUUAAGUUCACCGCCUGGGGAGUACGGUCGCAAGACUAAAACUCAAAGGAAUUGACGGGGGCCCGCACAAGCGGUGGAGCAUGUGGUUCAAUUCGACGCAACGCGAAGAACCUUACCUGGGCAAGACGCUAGCGGCUAGUCGUAGAAAUACGAUGUUCUACUUCGGUAGACUGCUAGACAGGUGCUGCAUGGCUGUCGU
This 266-nucleotide ribosomal RNA is filed under the name uncultured bacterium. RNAcentral describes it as "partial 16S ribosomal RNA". It matches the Rfam family "Bacterial small subunit ribosomal RNA", at positions 793 to 1055 of the family's 1533-position model. The record is from RNAcentral.